UUUUUUUAGUAACAAGAGAUAAAAAGAUAGACCUUCAGAAAAAACAGACUCAAAGAAAUGUGUUCAGAUGUAAUGUAAUUGGAAUGAAAAGCUGUGGGAAAAGUGGAAUUCUUCAGGCUCUUCUUGGAAGAAACUUAAUGGUGAGAGUUCUCAAAAUAUAGAAUUAUAUCCAACAAAUUUCUGUAGUUUAUGUAAUUUUUAUAGCCAUUAUUAACCUUUUUAGAUGAUUACUAGAGCUCAUUGCCCUAUAUAUAUUAGUAAAGUGUUUCAUUGGUGUUAGCCGUGUGUGUGUGUGUGUGUUUGUUUAUUUAUUUAUUUAUUUAUUUGGUAGUACUGGAGAUUGAACCCAGAAAGCAUGCUCUACCUUUGAGCUGCAUCCUCAACCCUUCUAUUUUUUGUUUUUUAUUUUGAGACAGGGUAUUGCUUGAUUGCUGAGGCUGGCCUUACAGUCCUCCUGCCUUAGCAUCCCAAGUAGCUGGGAUUAAUGUGCAUGUGCCACUGUGCCCUGCUCUCAUUUGCCUUUUUUCUUUUUCUUCUUCUUCUUCUUUUUUUUUUUUUUUUUGUUUUAACAUAUGUGCUGUCACAGGAAGGCCAAUAUAUUCUGCUUCCUGCGAUGAGUAAACCCAGAUUUCUGUUGGGUGUGUUGUAAACAGAAAAGCCAUUCAUCAGGUCUCCUCUCCUGAGCACACCCCUCAUUUUUUAAAAAAACCAGUUAUUUAGAUGAUGAUUAAAUGACUACACAUACGAAAGCACCUCAAAUAGUCCUUGGUAGGAAAUAAAUGCGUGGUAAAUCUUUCAAAUUGAAUACUAAUACCUAGUCUGUUUACUUUGAGUAAAACUGACAUAUUUCCAGAUGAGGCCAAUAUCAGACCAAACUAUAGUGUAAUGUGAAUUGUCAGCAAUGGCUCUAGAAUCUACUUUCAAAAAUACAGUUUACUUCCUCUUAACCUACUGCUUUUACUUUGUGCAAAACAAAUGCAUAUUUUGUCUUAGACCCUAAAAACUAAAAAACAUAAAAUUAACAUCUCUUUUAUACUGAUAAAUAGUAUUUAGUAUAGAGAAGAAUGUCCUUUUAUUUAUAACCCACCUACACAUGUUUGUAUUGAUGAAAACUAGUAAUUCCUUCCUAUAAAUAUUGAGAUGUUCGGUUCUGUUUUCAGAGACAGAAGAAAAUCCGUGACGAUCAUAAAUCCUACUAUGCGAUUAAUACUGUUUAUGUAUAUGGACAAGAGAAAUACUUGUUGGUAAGAAAUUCUCAAUAUAAAAAUUUUAAUUGGUACAUUUUAAAAUGACAGAAACAAAAUGACUUUAAUGUCUGAAUGUAGAAUUUGUGUAUGAUUUCUCCCCCUCCUGGUUUGUUUCUUAGAAUAUUAAUUCCUUUGAUCUAUGUGAUUAUUACAUGAAUAUACAUAUAAGUAAAAAAAAAUCACCUGUAGAAAGUAAAACAGAAGAAAAUGAACUUACUUUUUAGUCUCCCAUUUUGACUUUUUAAAAAUUCUACUGCUAUUCACUAAAAAUUAAUAUGAAAACAGUGCUGAUGCUUGGUUGUUUACCUAUAAUCUGAAUCAAGUUUAUCUACUUAGCAGGAAGGAGUAUAGCAUAAAAAUGUAUGAAAGGAUCUGACUGAAAAGAUACCACAAAAUACAGUAAAAAGAGGUUCAAUAUAACCUUGGUCCACCAUUGAUAAGUUCUGUGACCUUGGGCAAGUGGCUUAUUCUCUCUGAGCUUGUUUCUUAAUAAGUUAGCUCCUCAAUGAAAAGUUUCUAACAAAUAAUAGACAUACUAGAAAAUUCAUUUGUCUAUUUCUUUUUGGAAAUAUUUAUUUUACCAAAUUAUCACAUUGAAUAUUACAUAUAUUUUAUUCUUUCUGAUGUUUGUCAGCUUCUUAUUAUAUCCCUUUGUCUCCUAGUCUCCUAUAAGUAUAGUUUUAGAUAUUGGGUACUUAGUUAAUAUUGUUGACUGUUAAUUUUCCUGUUUUAUUAUUAUUAUUUUUUAAUUUUUUAAAAUAUUUAUUUCUUAGUUUUUUUUUUUUUUUUUUUUAAGGUGGACACAAUAUAUUUUACAUUUAUGUGGUGCUGAGAAUCGAACCCAGUGCCUCACGCAUGCUAGGCGAGUGCGCUACCGCUUGAGCCACAUCCCCAGCCCCCUGUUUUAUUAUUAUUACACUAUUUUUGCAAAUUGUAUCUUUCAUGUCUUUGACUAUGCAUGCUAUAAUAGUGUUUUAUUUGAAUAUAUUCAGUCACAGCUUCUUUUUUCCCCCCAGUAUUAAGGAUUGAACUCAGGACCUAAGCACAUGCUGUACCAAUGAGCUACAUCCCCAGCCCAGGAUAUUUCUUCAGGAAAUAUAAUAAACAUUGAAAAGAUAAGGCAAUGCAGUACAAUCAAAUGACUUUAAUUAAAAAGUUUUUGCUUAGUGAUUUUGUUAGGAGAAAUGUUAGUGUGGUAGGAAAAAUAAUACACUUGGCAAUUAUAUCUGAGUUCAUGUUUUGGUCUGAUGACUUCUUAGGUAUGUUGUCUUUUGUAUUUGACUUAUUCUAACCUGUUUCCCUAUCUAUAGAGUGUAGACAAUAUACAGAAAAGGCUUGCCAGCAGCACAUCAGUCAGUCACUGAAUGCUAGCUUCUGUAGAUUCUUUUUUUUUUUUUUUUUUUAAUAUUUAUUUAUUUUUUUAAGAGAGAGAGAGAGAAUUUUUGUUAUUUUUUUUUUUUUUUAAUUUUCGGCGGAUACAACAUCUUUAUUUGUAUGUGGUGCUGAGGAUCGAACCCGGGUCGCACGCAUGCCAGGCAAGCAUGCUACCGCUUGAGCCACAUCUCCAGCCCUCUGUAGAUUCUUAAUCACCACCAUUUUUAAUGCACAAAAUCAGCAAAAAAAUACUUGUUUGUUUAUACUUUCUACUUCUAAAAGUGGUCUGAAAAGUUAUGAUUAACCAGGAGUUUUUUAUUAGGAUGUCCAACCAAACAAUUAUAAUACAUCAUGACUUUAUCAAAAUUGUGAUACUUGUGUUUCUCAUUAUCUUUUUCUUUUUACCAGUUGCAUGAUAUCUCAGAAUCGGAGUUUCUAACUGAGGCUGAGAUCAUUUGUGAUGUUGUAUGCCUGGUAUAUGAUGUCACUAACCCCAAAUCCUUUGAAUACUGCGCCAGGAUUUUUAAGGUUUGUAGUUCUUAUAGACUAUGAUUAAAUAUAAUUUUAUAUGGGGUUUUAAUGAAUUUCAUGAUGUUUCCUAACCAGAAAAAUGCAACAAGAUCAUUGGUGGAGCUUUUAAAAAAUAUAUACAUCUUUGCCCUAUUCCUGAAGGUUCUGGUUUUAUUCUGCAAUGGUAGAGUCCCAGCAUAUGUACUUUAAAAAUUUUCUUCCACACGUGAUUCUGAUUUGCAUUCCUGGUUAAGAACUUUUGCUUUAAUGGGGGGUUUUCUUAGCUGUUAGGAAUGCAUGUGGAGUAUGUAUUGCCAUUUACCCAAGAAUAACAGCCAGAGCAAGGGGAUAAACCAGAGGCUUGGAAAGUGUAUCAGUCACUUUGAGAUUAUCAGCAAGAUUCAGUAGGAGGAAAAAGCUACAAAUAGAAAGGUAUUUAUUCUAGUGUUAUUUUUAAUAGCCUGAAAAUAAAAUAUUCCAGAUGUCCAACACUAUUAAAAGAUGGUUUUCUAGCCGGGUGAGGUGGUGCAUGCCUGUAAUCCCAGCAGCUCAGGAGGCGAAGACAGGAGUUUGCGAGUUCAAAGCCAGCCUCAGCAAUUUAUCAAGGCGCUAAGCAAAUCAGUGAGACCUUGUCUCUAAACAAAAUACAAAAUAGGGCUGGGCAUGUGGCUCAGUGGCUGAGUGCCCCUAAGUUCAAUCCCUGGUACCAAAAGAAAAGAAAAAAAAGAUAGUUUUUUAUAUUAUGAUAAAAUAAUCUAGGAGAUUAAGCAACCAUGAAAAGUGAUAGUUCUGAAUUCUGAAAAAUAGGGGAGAUACAGUGUUACAUUUUUAAAGAGUUAUACCUAACAUGACUGCAACUAUAUAAACAUAUAUAAAUGCAAGUACUCAAGGAUUAGAGGUAAUAUAAAAAAAUGAAAAUAGUCAUUUUUAGUUUAGAGGUUAGGCGGAUUUCUCUUAUUUCAAAAUGUUUAUUGUGGUUUUUUUAAAAAAAAAUUUAGUUGUAGUGGACACAAUACCUUUUAUUUUAUUCAUUUAUUUUUAUGUGGUACAUAGGAUCGAACCCAGCACCUUGCAUGUGCUAGGCAAGUGCUCUACCACUGAGCCACAACCCUAACCCCUAUUUUUUUUUUUAAUUUAAGAAAUAUAUUUUAAAAUUAUAGUGAAUCUAAAGAGUUAGAAUUGGUUUCUUUUGUUACCUACAUUGGAAAAGUUGGGCUAAUCAUAUUUAUUAUAUCAGACUGUCCUAGGCCACUACCAAACUUUACCUCUUGGGUCAUUUUUCCUCUUUGAAACUAUUGUUUCUUUGCCUAUUAGAGAAAUUUUUUAGUUCACAUUGAAUUGAAUAGUAACUUUUGAAUUCUUCAUCAGAUUUUGAUUUCAUUUUUUUAUUUCAUAGCAACACUUUAUGGACAGCAGAAUACCCUGUUUAAUCAUAGCUGCAAAAUCAGACCUGCAUGAAGUUAAACAAGAAUAUAGUAUCUCACCUACUGAUUUCUGCAGGAAACACAAAAUGCCUCCACCUCAAGCCUUCACUUGCAAUACUGCUGAUGCACCUAGUAAGGAUAUCUUUGUUAAACUGACAACAAUGGCCAUGUACCCGUAAGUACCUGCUCUGUCUUCAUUUUCAUGUUGCAUGGUUCAUAAUAACAUUGCAUGCCAUUAUUAGCCAUGAGGGGGGAAUCUUUGUCAUAUAGAAGUUGUUCAGCAACAGAAAGAGACUUUAUAAUGAGAAGGUACAAAUUUGAGCAAAUCCAAGUUUGGUUUGGGUACCAUAGUAAAAUAAUACAAACAGUGCUUCUUACAAUGUUUGUAUAUUUUUGAGUAGGCUAUAGCUCUCUUAACAGGAUAAUUCAAUAAAGCACAGCCUCCCACCCAGCAUUAAAAAAUAGUCUUAGUGCAAUAAAAUGGGGUUAACAUCAUGUUGCUUUAUGCAUUUCCAUAUACAAAGUUCAUUUUUAUAUUUGUUGAUUAAUUGACCUUGAGUAUGUGAAGGAUUCUAAAAUCUUUUGUCAAUUUAUGUUGAACAUGUGAUUUCAAAAUAUUGUCUUCUUUAAGUGCUAUUAAAAAAAGUAUUUAUAAUUGGAAUUUCCAAUAUGUAAAUGUUUUGCAUUAAGUAUUAUGAGCCACAAAUUUCAUGUACAUUUAUUAUAUAUCUAUACAUACAUAUAUGUGCAAGCGCGUAACUGGUUAUAUUCAUAAUUUACUAACUGCCUUAAAAUUGCAUGAUUCUUAAUGGCAUUCUCCUCAAAUAGUGUGUUUGUAUAAAUUCUGUUUUGUAACAAAAUAGUUUUUCAGGCAGUGCGUUUCUCUAGUCUAUAGCUUAUGCUAUAUUUUAUUAUAUUAAUUUCUAAUUAUUUGCCUUCUUAUGAAAACUACAGUGUAAAAUAGAGUAAUAAUCAAACACUGCUACAAACUGAGGUUUUCCAGAAAGGUGUUAAUUUGUAAAGAUUUUUAAAAUCAGUUAAUUUUCCUGGUAUUCCAUUAACUCACACUUUAAAAAAUGCAACAAACCUUUACAUUUCUAUUUUAUUAGAAGACAACUUGUUCCUAUUAAUAUAAGCAAAACUUUAUUUAUGUUUUACCGUUGCUUUAAAACUCUCAUGUAUGUUAUCUACAGAGAGGAUCAUUACAGAGACAGACUCUCCCGAGACAUGGGCAACACUGAUAGAAUAGAGAAUUUGAGAAAAAUCUGGGUCUUUCUAAAAACUGCUUUGUAAGUUACUUUUUCUUUAUGACUUCUGUAGAAUUUUGUUUACAUUUUCUUAUAGGGUGACCAAAUCUCCUUUCUUGCUAUAAUUAACAUUUAGUAAUUAUCUAGAAACGCACUGCUUGGUCAGAUUUAACCUGUUUAUUAUGGUGUCGUCUUUACUAUGUAAAUGUACUUUUAAAAAUCUUGUAAAUAACUGCAACUGUGUUUUUAGAUCUGCAUCUUUAAAACAGUUUACUUUAAUUCUUGUGUGUGUGUAUAUAUGAUAAAUGUACAUACAUGGACACUUGUUUAUAUGGUUAAUCCCAAACUACUUCUCAUGAAGCAUCUCCCUGUUGCUAAGCAUACUUUGCAUCUCUCCUUUUUGGUGGGUGGAGCCUUGUAUAUGUUGAAGAAUCAGAUUCAAUUUAUAAAAUAACAGAUGGAUUCCAGUAUGACAGCUGGCAGUGACUUAGUAGCAGUGCUAUGUUCAUCAUCACAAGUCAGGUUUUAAAAAGGAAUGUCUUGAGCAUUAAUUUUCAAAAUUAAUUCUUGUUUUUCUCCAUGUUGAGAAUUAGGCAUUAUUGGGAUGCUGCUAAUCUCCACAACCAUGCUACCGUGUGCUGUGGUCUCAUCAGAUCUUACAAGCUAAGCCAAGUCAGAUUGGGCCAGUCCUUUGACUGAGAAGCCUCUAAAAAUGAUCAGGUGUUACAGGAAGUGAUGGCAUUGAAUCAUCAGGCGCUCUUCUGAAUGGGUUCUGCGCCAGUGCCUCUUCACGGGUGGUGUGAUGGUUUUGUAUGUCUGAGUGGCUCCGAUCACUGAACAGUCAUUGGAGACCCCCUUACUUUGGUAGAUAGGGCCUAGGUGAUAUGGGUUGCCCCAUGUGCCUGCACCAACUAGUGCAACUCCACUCAACCAGAAAGGAGUCAGAAAGCCUCCCUAAAUUUCAUAUCUAAUUUCAAUUGGAUCCAUUGUUGAUUUUACAUCCUUACUCAGAGUUUCAUACUAUCAUACUUAGCUGCUGUGUUUUGGUAGCAGAUGAAAUCAACCCUAUAUUUUGUUGGAAAUUUAUGAAGCACUUUGAUUUCCUUUGGGAGCCAGGGUGCUUGAUGAAUUAAAGACAAUAUUGUUCAUAUCUUCUCAGGGUUGAAUAUACUCAUCUUUUGACUCUUUUAUGUAUUUGUCACUCUUCUCCUUCCUGGUUUUCAGGCAUGUGUGUAUGCUGAGGGAGGAGGAGGGAAUGGUUAUUUAAAUGCUAGCAAACCUUGUCCUUUUGGUGGGUGCUAUGGCUUAUUCAAUUUUUAUUUUUAUUAAUUUAGAUGAAGGUGCCAUCUAUUGCUGUGCAUACUUAUUCCACUAAAACUCAUAUAAUAAUUCCACCCCCCUCCAAAAAAGCUAAAGUGUUUAGAAAAUGUUCCCUAGACUUUCUAUAGGGAGGGAGGAGGAAGCUAUUACUGCUUAUUCUGUUUCUGGUACAUGUGGAAUUCUGCACAACUUUAGUAUGGCCCACACUGUCCUUUUUCUUUCUUCAAAGAGUGUUGCUUAUGCCUAAAUCUUUUUUUUUUUUCUUUUUAGUUGGCACACCCUGACUUGUGCCAUAUUUGUAAGUAAGAACUCAACCCUGUCCUUCUGUGUGUUUUCGCAGCCAUGCCCGGUUACGCUGUAUGUGCACCUGCAACAGGUGCACAUUUUGCAUCUGUCAGAACUUCCUCAACUCAGACUUGCUGCAAUCUGUAAAGAACAAAAUCUUCACUGCAGUUCUUAACAGGUUCUUAACUUUAUUUACUGGGUACCAGGCAUUCUGUUAAAAUACAAAAAAAAAAAGUGGAUAACUAUUUAUUAUACAGAUAUUCACUACAUACGCAACAAACCAACUGACACCCAACUAACUUCCACUAAAAUUCUCACUGUGACCACAAUGUUCAGUUUUUGAAACAACCAUAAUAAUGUUUUUAAGUUAAUAGGUAUAUUUCAAGGAUAUUUUUUGUUAAUUCCUUAGGAAAGUUAAAAUACCUUUCAUAUUAGAAGAUAAUAUGUGUAGGGAGAUUAAAAUCUUUUUGCUGUAAAUCCUAGAAAUAGAUUAGGACUUUUGUAGUAAUGAAAAGAGACAUUCAUCCCAAGUAAAAGAUUAUUUUGCUGUGCUCAGCUAAUAUUCAGAUAAUGUAUCUUAGCAAAACUAUACCAAUGUGAACAAUAUUUUGGUUUGAAAAAAUUCUCUAGUCUUGAAACCAUUUAUAAUUAUAAUCUACCUUUACUUAUUUUUUAAAAAGUACUUGGAAUGCUUAUUUGAAAAGAACAUGAUUUCUGGCAGUGAGGAUAAGAACCAGCUUUAAGGACUCAAAAGUAUGGAAAAGGGAAAAAAAGAGAUGUGAAGUAUUAUUUUUCAUAUCUUAUUAUUGAGCCAAAACAUGAAAUGUUCCUAUAAAAUAAUAUGCUUUUGAAAAGAAAAAGAGAAAAAAAAGGAUGUAUACAUUCCCUUAAAGCAAUGAACUUGAAAGGUUAUAUUCUUAUUCUGAUCAUGCUGCCUUUGUUCAAAUCAGUUUUAUUUUUUCUGAGCAUUUAAGAACCUAUAUAGUAUAUAUGUAUCUGGUUGUCAAAUUUAUAUGUGACAGGAUUAGGGUUUUGAAGUUACUUAUAUAUGUCAUUGAGAACUGGGCUUGAUUACGGUGGAUGAUCAAGCUAAAUACAGAUUUUGAUUAGAAAUGGGUCAUUUUUUUCCAUUAUUGAACACUUGCUAAAUAAUAGACUCCAGCUGGACCAAAUGAUCAUGGUUUAUGUCCACCAGCAAUAUAAUAGUGGUGUCUAUGAGAUGGUUACCUAUUUCUUAUGUGAGUCAGAAACUGGUUUUGAAGGCAUUUUAAAAGCAUUUCAGUGGUUUUUUGAGCACUACCAGCCCUGGAAUAAGAAUGCAGCCAUCUCAGGGACUGCUUUGAAGGGAUUACCACAUUGAUUUGUAAAGUUCUGCCUCUGUUCUUUGAGUGACACCUGUAAAGGAGUAACCCAGAUAGAGUCCCUCAUGAUGACUAGCUGAGAAAAAUGCAAGGCUAGUUCAAACCAAACAACAUUCAGGAGCUCCACUGUUGGGAAUCCUAGUGUUGGAAGAGAUUCUGGAAUUCAUCUGGCCUAACCUCCUGGUAGCAAGCCUUCCUGAGAGAGUACUGUUUAUUUGCUUAUGGCUUUUUUCUUUGGUGAGGGUUUUUGCUUUUGCUUUUAUUUUUUAAAACUAAAAUAUUUUCCCUAUAACUUUCUCUCCUUUAGUUUUAGUUCUGCCCUUUAGAACAACAUACGACUAUUCUACUCCCUCAUCAACAUAGCAAUCCUUCAGAUAUUGAAGACGAUCAUCAUGUCUCCCCUAAUUUUCUCUUCUCCAGGUAGAACAUCCCCAUUUCUUUCAGCCUUUCUAAAAAUUAGAUGAUGUAGUGACUUCAUCAUUCUUGGUUGGUCUCAUCUGAAAGCCCCUUAAGUUCUCAGAGUACUUCUUAAGUGGUGCCACCAAGGAUGGAAAGAUAACAGUGCUCCAGAUGUGGUCUGACUAGUCCAGAACAGUGGGCAGUCAUGUUCCACACUUAAGACAACACCUGUCCAGUGCAUGAAUUAACUUUUUAGUUGCCUACUGUCGACAUAGUAUUAUCUGGGGGUUAAUCGAAAUUAAAAAAAAAUUUUGUAUGAUGUGCUGUUAAAGCAGAUGUCCCUUCCUUUCUAAUUGUGUAUUUGAUCUUUGAACUUAAAUGCAGAUACAUAUGUAUCUCUAUUAAAUGUCAUAUUCUUUUUGAUCCAUUUGUUCUAGCUCAGUCAUUUCAAACAUUAUUUCUAUCAUUUGUCCCAUUAUAUAUAUUUUGUUAUUUGCAAAUUUGGUAGAUAUGUCAUAUCUUUCAAGUUAUUAAUAAAAAAUAAUGUCAAUUACCCAGAGGUUGGAGAGAGAGAGAAGUAAAGCAGCCAAGCCCUAUCAUACUCCAAUAGGCAACUCUUGCCAAUGACAGGUUCAGAUUCUUGGGGAAGGAAUUUUCAAUUAAAAAUAUGUUAUUAUCCAGCACAUAUUUUAUCUUGUCUUAUCAGAGAUUUUGGAAAGGAUUUUUCUAAAAUCAAUGUAAUUUUUGCCUCAUACUUCUGACCCACCAAUGUAGUAAUUGUAUCUAUAUACUAAGUAUUUGAUCUCUUAUUUUUUGUGCACCUAUCUUAGCUCCCAGUAAUUGCCCAUUACAAACUACAUAUCUUAUUAUUAAUUCUAGAUUGUCCAUGAUACUAGAUUGAUUCACUGUCUCCAUUUUUGGUGAUAUUUUUUUUUCUAGGAUGGUUUAAUCAGCUUCCAAAUGAAAUGAGUUAAGAUGUGUGUUAAAUUGAUGUACUUACUCAUAAAUUACUCAUAGUAAAUCCUCAAAGAGAAAUCAGUAUAUUUUGUCAUAUCUAUUUAUAUACUGGAAAUAAUUUAAUAGUCAUGUCAGCACACAUACUGAUAUCUCUGGUAAUCAAGAAUGAGAAGGAUGAAUAGGGAAACCAGUGUACUUUUCAAAGAACUCCUUCCUUAUCCCUGUUGGUAUAUCAGUCAUUUAUUUGAUGCAAGUACAGUGGAAUUUUAGGGGUUCUAUGUUGAAGUUACUUCCAGUGUUUGGAAAAAGAUAGGUAAUUAAGGUAGGUGGGUGGGGGUCAAAAACUCAGUUCCUGGAGGAUCCAAAUGGAUAAUGGAAAGGAAUGAAGGUAGCCAAAGUGGAAGAAACAAGGAAAGGUGGGGUCUGAGGCCCUGUCUAAAAGGCAGCACUGUUCACUGGUGGCCCUUAGUUGUACAGGCCCAGUGUUGCUAGGUUUUAUGAUUCUACAAAAGAUAAGAAAUCAAGAUUUUUAUAUGAAAUUUAAUAAUAUUUAAAGAAUAGCAAUUUAAAAAAGUACUAAUCAGAACAAAACAUGUUUAUAGGCUACUAGUUUGUAAUCUUAGUAUUAAGGCCUGGAAUCAAGAAAAUGAGCAAAAAAAGGGAAAAAGGGACAGCAAAUAAAUGAGAAUCUGCCUGUUCACCUCUAUCCCGUAGUUUAUUCCUUUCCCACACAAAAGUUCUUGAAUCAUGGGGUGAGAAAAAAACCUCCUUUCCCUAUUACUUGUCAGAUAUUGGCAGCCUUUGGUGGUUGGUCACUAUUGGUUUGCCAUGCUAGAUAUAUCUAAAUUCUGAAAAAGCAGAGGAAAUAUUUAAUUAAUUAAUUAAUUAAAAGUCAUUUAAGAUAUAUUUUACUUUGUUCCUACUUAACACUAAGUCUUGUAUCUUUGUUUCUGAAAAUCAGAACUUCCAUGCUUAGUAUUUGAUUUAGAAUUUACUGUAAAAGAUUAUAAAAGUUUUUUAUUUUUAUUUAAGCCAAAAACUUCUUUAAAUGUAUGAAAAGAGCUAGGCACAGCUGGGCACACCUGUAAUCUAGG
RNAcentral lists this long non-coding RNA (11218 nucleotides) under Marmota monax (woodchuck). The record is from RNAcentral. Lineage: Eukaryota; Metazoa; Chordata; Mammalia; Rodentia; Sciuridae.